RNAcentral lists this non-coding RNA (105 nucleotides) under bovine gut metagenome. RNAcentral's name for it is "FMN riboswitch (RFN element)". It matches the Rfam family "FMN riboswitch aptamer (RFN element)". From Rfam's summary of the family: The RFN element is a highly conserved domain that is found frequently in the 5'-untranslated regions of prokaryotic mRNAs that encode for flavin mononucleotide (FMN) biosynthesis and transport proteins. This element is a metabolite-dependent riboswitch that directly binds FMN in the absence of proteins. The record is from RNAcentral. RNAcentral also lists the same sequence under 1 other name.
CUUCAGGGCAGGGUGAAAUUCCCGACCGGCGGUAAAGUCCGCGAGCGCUUGCGCAUGAAUAGGUGAAAUUCCUAUACCGAUAGUAUAGUCUAGAUGGAAGAAGAA